RNAcentral lists this ribosomal RNA (450 nucleotides) under uncultured organism. RNAcentral describes it as "partial 16S ribosomal RNA". It matches the Rfam family "Bacterial small subunit ribosomal RNA", at positions 332 to 796 of the family's 1533-position model. The record is from RNAcentral.
UACACUCCUGCGGGAGGCAGCAGUGGGGAAUUUUACGCAAUGGGGGAAACCCUGACGUAGCGACACCGCGUGAGCGAAGAAGCCCUUUGGGGUGUAAAGCUCUGUCAGCUGGAACGAAAACAAUGACGGUACCAGCAGAGGAAGCAUCGGCUAACUACGUGCCAGCAGCCGCGGUAAGACGUAGGAUGCGAGCGUUGUCCGGAUUUAUUGGGCGUAAAGAGUUCGUAGGUGGUUUGUUAAGUUUGGUGUUAAAGAUCGGGGCUCAACCCUGGGACUGCACUGAAUACUGGCAGACUCGAGUGUGGUAGAGGCUAGUGGAAUUCCCAGUGUAGCGGUGAAAUGCGUAGAUAUUGGGAAGAACACCGGUGGCGUAGGCGACUAGCUGGGCCAUAACUGACGCUGAGGAACGAAAGCCAGGGGAGCGAAUGGGAUUAGAAACCCGAGUAGUCC